UUGACCUCGGAUCAGGNAGGAAUACCCGCUGAACUUAAGCAUAUCAAUAAGCGGAGGA
This 58-nucleotide ribosomal RNA is filed under the name Xylaria fissilis. RNAcentral's name for it is "partial 28S ribosomal RNA". It matches the Rfam family "Eukaryotic large subunit ribosomal RNA", at positions 1 to 57 of the family's 3401-position model. The record is from RNAcentral. Lineage: Eukaryota; Fungi; Ascomycota; Sordariomycetes; Xylariales; Xylariaceae.